CACAGCGUCCCUCUGUGUCAGUGAGUCCCUCUGCUGAGAUGAUGGAGGGUGGUUCAGUGACUCUGAACUGUAGCACUGAUGCUAACCCAGCAGCUAGCUACACCUGGUACAAGGAGCAUGAAGACUCACCACGAGCAUCAGGACAGAUGUUCACCAUCACUGACUUCAGAGCUGAACACAGUGGGAAUUAUUCCUGUGAAGCCCAGAACCAGAUGGGACGUAGUACCUCCACCUUACUUCAGAUUACUUCUUCAGGAAAACGAGGCUCCUCAGUGUCAAUAACAGCAGCUGUUUUGGCAACAUCUGCUGGUUUCUUGGUGAUCUUCAUCAUUGCUGCCAUCCCCAUGUUCCUCUGGAUCAGAAGGAUAAAGUCUGGACAAAGCCGCCGGCCUGGAGAGAGACCAGACGACAAUGAGAUCCAACUGGUCAAAAACAUGUUGAAGAAAGUGCAGAAUUUCUGGUGCCGCCAUUCAAAGGAUAAAGUCUGGAGAAAGCUGCUGGUCUGAGGGGAGAGACCGGAGAACACAGAGGUGCAGAUCCCAAUGUUUAACGAUGGACACCAGGAGGAAGAGAGGAAAGAGAACAUGUACUCCGGCUGUAUCAAAUUUGAGCAGAACUCAAGUGGCAACGUUAGUACUUUUGCUCAGAAGGUGCAUUUCAUUAACAAUCUUCCGUCUGUGCUUUUAUCUUCAUGUUUUCUUGCUGUUUAAACGUGUUCAUUCUUCAUGGUGUGAGUUGACGGUUCUUUCACUGAUGGAGGUGUGAAGGAGCUGUGGAUGAUUCUUCUGCUCUGUACAGCACCGUCAGCAAAGCACCAAGAGAAUGAAGCCACACGGACAUGUGGUGUGUUACUUUACAGAGUUUAAGCAGCUUAAACACACCUGCAUGAAUAUGAGGUUUGACAUGUUGUAUAUUCACCAUCGUUAAGGCUUCCAUCAGAGAACUAUCAGUGAGCCAAUGGGAGGCCAGCUUGCAGUCUGGAAUCAGCCUUUAAAUGUUACGUAUUGGACGUUGAUUCAUUUAAAAAAAAACAAAGAUUGUGACAAUGUUUUAGCAAAGCUAAACCUAUUUCCUUUUAUAUGUUGAUUGUAUUUUAUUUAUUAUUCAGGAUCUGCUAGUUGAUUUGUUACUGAAGAUCACAUUGAGGUAUUGGUGGAAAUCACCACAUGUUCCUCUGGUUUUGGAGCAGAUGUGUAACAGAUGUGUUGUGGCAGAACAUAGAGAUAAUCAAGUAGACCUCAGUGGUGAUUCCCACUGGUAGUAAAGCUCAGUUACAAAAUAAGUGGCACAACCUGAAUUAUAGUUCUAUUUUUUUAACAAAAUGUGUAUUUUAAACAGUCAUGUAUCUUUAAAAAUACAAAUGUUUUAAAUACAAAGAGCUGCAAGCUACAAAAUAUUUUCUAUGUAAGUUCAGAUGCUUUAAAACUUUUUUGUGUGUGCUAUGCUUCAUAAAUUGUUUGCAGAGUCUAUUGCAUUGUAAAAUUAAUGAUUUUAAUUCAAUUCAAUAUUGGAUGAGUCUUUUAUUCUAUGUAGUAAGCAGCUGUAAUGUUAAAAUAUGUUAGAACAUAGUCUUGUACUAAGAGUGAUUAUUGUAUGUAUUGAAGAAAGGGGGGAUUCAAAAGGGCAGCUGUGUGAAGGGGGCAGUCAAGCAGGCUUUCACACGUAUGCUCAACAAAUGAACUGUUACCUUGGUUCAUUUCUCACUUAAUUUGUAAGUUUUCAUAUCCGCUAUCUCACAGAUGGUUUAGGGUUCUGCGCCUCUCAUGGCGACCUGCCACUAGAAAUGACCUUCAUGUGGGUAUAACAACUCAGCAUUUUCACUUCUCGAAGACGCCAUCUCCACAGAGCAUCAUGAUACCAGCUUGUGUAUUUGACCUCUGUAAUUGCAAAAAUAUAUGUAACUCUUCUAAAUGCUUCAUUUGUAUAACCAGUUUAUUAAUUGCAAGUGCUGAGAUGGAAAGGCCAUGGUAUGAGAGCUGAAGUGUGGGUCGUAUGUGUGUAACCAGAUUUGGAGUUAGGAGGGCGAGUCCAUGGUCAAAGAACUGAUGUGUCUUACAUGGACUAGCUGUCCUGAGUAUCCUGACUGUAGAGACUCAACAAGGUGGUCAAGGUUGUUGACGCCACAGAUAACUGAACUUGUGUAUAAGAACUGCCUCGUUCUGUUAGGGGGGGCAAGAAGGUUCAUGACAGUCUGCAGAGCAUGCAGCUGUUGUGACCUUUCUUCCCUUGCAAGGAAAUAAAUGGAGA
RNA transcript from Pungitius pungitius (ninespine stickleback), 2247 nucleotides. It is a transcript of the gene named B-cell receptor CD22-like, with no coding region annotated. The transcript has 6 exons. Lineage: Eukaryota; Metazoa; Chordata; Actinopteri; Perciformes; Gasterosteidae. The record is from RefSeq and is a predicted model, not a curated record.